UUGUAUUUGUUUUUCUUCGCAGGGGGAGGGCUCUUGGCCGGACAAUUACAAGUUCUGUGCCCCAGCCACCAUAACCUUAUUCCAGUUAUUUCCUUGUUUGCCAGUCUGCAACAUGCGUCAAAACCACUGGAGAGUAAGAAAAAACAUAAUAUAGAAUCAAGCAUUGCUGAGCCACAAGUCUAAUUAACCCUGAAAAUAAGAUGAAGAUGUCCAGGCAGUCAGCUUUAAAGGUUAAGCCUGAAAGGUCAACUUGAUUAAAAGUAGAUAACAAACCACAUACAAUCCUCUCAUUUCUCCUGAAUCAGAUUCCUAUUUUGGUCAAAUGUAGGAGUUCCUCAAAGUAAUCUCAUUUUGGAUUUGAGCUCAGAUAGCCAGAAGCGACUGAUUAAAUGGGUCCCGGUCGGACACAAGCACAUUCCUAAAACUGAGAUUAUUCUUCUUCAAGAGCUUUUUAAUACAUCUGAUGCAACACUGAUGGAAGACCACUGAGUUUGUAGGUGUUCUCUGAAAACCUGACAGAGACUUAAGCCCCAGCCUUUACGAUCAAAUGCUCAGCAGAGGGUUUCUGCACUUCAGAAACUUUAAAGCAGAUGAUUCAUUUGUUUAUUGGAAACAUGAUGUUCACUUAAUCCUCACUGUUUCUUUGCUUUUUUCCAAGGAAGCUUCCUGGCUUUAUGUUGUCCUUUAUGAGAACUUGCUGAUGUCUGAGGAUGAUUUACUUCAAAUCAGCUUUUUUGUGUGUGUGUUCACUGACAGGAUGAACUCUCUGCUGUUCAUGUAAAAGUAUGAAACCUUUCCAUAAAAGAAAUCUUGUAAUGGUGUGCAGAGCUGGAGAAACACAUUCUCCACAAAUUCUGUUGAAAAAUGUGUUGUUUUGAAGAUGCAUUUCAUUAUGGUUGAUGAUGUAACUAAUAGAAGUGGCAUUACCAUAAAACUGAACAUUAACGGGUUCUUCGCAACUGUAAAAUUGCGGCUUCCACCUCUUGCAUAUUCAGAAGACUUAACAGCAUCCAUCUCCUUAGAAAGUCAAAGAAAAACCUAACAAAGAGCAAACGGGGGAAGUAGAAGCGUUUAAUGGGUUUAUAGGACACAGUUCCAAAGAGCAAAAUUGCUUUUCAGUCAAAAAAGGUCACAGUGACAUUUAUUUUCUCUGUUCUAAGGAGAAAUGGUUGGCUCAUGUCAUGAUCAAAUUUUGAAAUAAAUUAGACAAAAAAGUCUCUGAAAAGGGAUAGAAAGUGUGAAUUUUAGCACACUUCUCUGUAUGUUUCCUUCUUGUUUUCAUUUAAUUUUUGUAGUGCAGUUUGUAUUGAUGUACUCUUCUUAAAAUGUUUUUUUUCCCCUCAGGAUUUGAACACCAAGAAGCGUCUGCAUCUUUUUUGUUAUGACUGCAAGCUUGCAUCAUUUUCAGAGAAUCAGUGAGAAAAGUCGGUCAUCCGCAUGGAGCUGCUAACAGAAGACGGCGUUCAUUCUCCAGCACAUUUUUGCUGACUAGUUAAACAACUUUGGUCUCAUCUUUCUUUGAAGGUCAGCAAAAGCCUCUUAAAAGUGAACAUCUGAGUGAAGUGAAUCACUCUAGCCAAACAAAUGAAAGGAUAGGAUUCAUGUAGGUGCCUUUUCUGUUCUCUGAGGCUCAGUAAGACCCUCAAAUCAAGACAUUCCUAAUUUUUCACAGUGAGGGGCUGUAUUCUUUCAGAGAGCGUCAGGAAUUAAGACGUUCACUCAGUCUCUCAGUCCUUCAGCAGGCACCAGAGUGCUCGGUUAUUUACGAGCAUCCUUCUUUUAAAGACGAAUCACCUGGAAUUAUCUCAGUUCAUAUCUACGACUGGAACUUUAGUGCCGGGAUAAAGUGCGCUUCACUGCCCAUUUCACUUGAUUGAAUACGGCGAGCUUUCAAAUAACAUAAAAGCUGCUGCUACUGCUCAGUGCGCUGCCAAGUGCUCAGAGUGAGAGGAAAGUUUUUCUUUUUGCUGGAAAUUUAACUUCAGCAGGAGCAUCCUCCAUCUUCCCGUGUGCGUCUGUGGUGGGGAUUUGCCUUAAGUUCAAGAGGAUCAACAUUUCUCCCUGGCAGGAACAAAAUAUAUCAAUCUUGAACCGCAUUCCUUUAAGACAUGAAACUAUUUGAUUUCUUUUUAAAGACGUGGCUUCUGGUGCUGUGCAGCAAUUUUUCAUCAUUUUAAUCAAUUUAACAUUAAUCAAACUUAAGGAAGAGGUUUUGUCGAGACCGUAGAUAAAGACAUUCCCACGUUUGGAGGAUUUUGUUUUGUAAUGUCAAAGAUGAAUGCCUCCUUAUUUUGUUUCUGUAAGUUAUUUUUGGGAUUGCGUGUCAAGCAUAAGUCUUGUGUGUCCUGACGUGUCCCAUCAUGGCAUCAAACAAUAGCUCAUUUAACUUCUGGCCAGUGUCCAGAUGCUCUGUAUGAAAGUAUCAGGUUUUAUCCAUCUUAGUUUAAGAAUUUCCCUGCUGUGGAGGAUUAACAGGUGAAAGGUCAGAGUCUGGCUAUAACCUUGUGCUGCUCAAACCGAUGGGAAGUGAUUAUAGUGAAGCUCAGCCUAUUGACACCAUGUGUUCUGUAUUAUGCACUUUAGUAGGUGAAACAAUGUUUUUGAUCAUUACAGGAGCAGUGCAGUGACCUAAAAAUGUCCUGUUGUGUCACCAGGAUGUCAGAGGAUCCUUUGGGUGCUGUGGGUUGUAGAAUGGGUUUGCUGUCCCAUCCUACUGAUCUAGUUCUUGCGAGGUCUGAAACAGUGUUUAGAUUGGUGUUAUGUGACAAAAUAACAACCACAUGAAUGCCAGGAUGUUUUUAUAGCAGAACACUGUAGCAAGAUACUCAACAUGUCUCCCGUUUCAGUUUAGCUCUCUUUGUCAUGUGUCAUGGUGAGCGUGUUGGUCAUGCUUUUCAUUCACGUUGCAUUGCUAAAGUUGUGCGAACUAUAGCUUAAAUUUCUCCCUGUUUGUUUAUGUAACAACAUCGCUGUAGUUAUGCCAACCUUGCAUACCGUUAGCUCGCAGCUUAAAAGCCAGUAAGCAACUGCAGAAAUAAUGUAAAUGUACAACAUAUUUGAGAGUUCAGAACGAUUGUUCAUCACUACGUCAGCAGCGUUUUGAGACGCAUUUAAGGAGGAGUGAUGUGAACGCAGAGGGGAGGAGAUUUAUUCAGUUCAAAUGAUGAACAUUACUGUCUGUCUUCAGCAACCGUUAUGACGUCUCUCUUAGUUUUACUUUGUCAGAAAAUACUACAACACAGUGAUGCAGGCUGCAACAGCAACUCACUGCGUGUUGUUAUGGAGUAACAUUAGUGUCGGACUUUUUGUGACCAUUAUAUAUUUAAAAUGUGACUGUGUCAAAGACGACAUGUUUUGACAUCUGAGAAAAACCGUCUCUGGUUUUCAUUUUGGUUCAUAUAAGUCCUGACUUCAUGGCAAAGAUAAUAAUGGAUUAGAGAAAAUGUGAUUUAACAUGAAAGGGCAGCAGAGGUCUGUGUAAGUAAUGUUUUACCAGUAACUUGACUCAUUAUGUUGCUUAUACAGCAUAUAUACGUAUAAAACUCUAAUAUGCAGCAACAAGAAGUACAAGAUAAGAUGUGUUUCAUAGCUCAUUGAUAGAUUGACUCUUUUUUAAGGUUAUGUAUUUUCCCAGAGAUUCAAUGUUUUGUUGCAUGUUUUUGUACUUGAAAAUUCCUCUCUGUUGUAAAGUUAAACAAAUAAAGGACAAAGUAUUGUAAAA
Molecule: long non-coding RNA, 3721 nt
Organism: Acanthochromis polyacanthus (spiny chromis)
Lineage: Eukaryota; Metazoa; Chordata; Actinopteri; Pomacentridae
Exons: 2
Source: RefSeq, a predicted model, not a curated record